This is a long non-coding RNA of Cebus imitator (Panamanian white-faced capuchin), 713 nucleotides long. RefSeq lists it as uncharacterized. The transcript is spliced from 3 exons. Lineage: Eukaryota; Metazoa; Chordata; Mammalia; Primates; Cebidae. The record is from RefSeq and is a predicted model, not a curated record.
UGAGGUCUGGGAGGGGGCCCAGCUCUUCUGUCCAGGCUACUGGAGACUUCCUUUGGCUGGGAACUCCAGGGGACCAUGUUUGGUGACGGAGCCCGGCUGGGCUGCACGAAACAUUGGUGGCAGCUGAGUGAGAGAGAAACUUACUAGAGUAUUUGGGCUGGCAAGUGACACCCCUUCUGCUCCGAGAUAAGAUGGAGACUUUUUCAAGCUACAUUUUAAAAUCGUAAAACCCAGGACCUCCUGCUGGAGAUGAGCGAUAGGUGUCAGCAACUCUGCCCAAGAACAAGAGGGACCUAUGGAGGGGAUGGAGGGGGGCCCCGGGACUGAAGGGCGGGCUCCUGGGACAAGCAGCUCCAGGAUCGUGGGAGCCAGUACUGGAGCAGAGGCUCUGCUGACAGAAGUUGCCUAUGGCCCCUCUUGGCAACUGUGGAAGCUUACUCACCUGAGAUCGCCAGGGCUGCUGAUACCUUUAGGGUUGCAACUUUGCAGCUAAAAAAAUAAAAUGAAAUGAAAUAAAAUGAAAUAAAAUAAAAUACAUUUCUGGGGAAAGGAUGCUCACCUUGGGUCAUGGGCUCAACCCAGCAUAGGGACGCUAGUAGAGGAACUAGGGGUGUGCUGCAAAACACCAGCCAGGGCAUUCCCUUCUUCCAGAUGAGAAACUGGUGUCCUAACUCAUCCAAGUGACUGUCCCUCAGGGGAGCGGUAGAGUCAUC